This 506-nucleotide ribosomal RNA is filed under the name uncultured bacterium. Its description in RNAcentral is "partial 16S ribosomal RNA". It matches the Rfam family "Bacterial small subunit ribosomal RNA", at positions 28 to 523 of the family's 1533-position model. The record is from RNAcentral.
GAUGAACGCUAGCUACAGGCUUAACACAUGCAAGUCGAGGGGUAACGAGAGGAAAGCUUGCUUUCCUUGUCGACGACCGGCGCACGGGUGAGUAACGCGUAUCCAACCUGCCCCCAACUAGGGAAUAACCUUGCGAAAGUAAGACUAAUACCCUAUAAUUUCCUCAGAUGUCAUCUGACGAGGAAUAAAGAUUUAUCGGUUGUGGAUGGGGAUGCGUCUGAUUAGCUUGUUGGCGGGGUAACGGCCCACCAAGGCAACGAUCAGUAGGGGUCCUGAGAGGAAGGUCCCCCACAUUGGAACUGAGACACGGUCCAAACUCCUAUGGGAGGCAGCAGUGAGGAAUAUUGGUCAAUGGGCGGAAGCCUGAACCAGCCAAGUAGCGUGCAGGAUGACGGCCCUAUGGGUUGUAAACUGCUUUUAUACAGGAAUAAAGUUAGCCACGUGUGGUCAUUUGUAGGUACUGUAUGAAUAAGGACCGGCUAAUUCCGUGCCAGCCGCCGCCGUAA